Molecule: transfer RNA, 69 nt
Filed under: Azospirillum oryzae
Lineage: Bacteria; Pseudomonadati; Pseudomonadota; Alphaproteobacteria; Rhodospirillales; Azospirillaceae
Description: tRNA-Trp
Source: RNAcentral
GAGGCGGACAGGUCGGUGCCCUCCCCGGCCUCCAGUGCCGCGAUCAGACGUUCGAUCGCCGCCGCCUCG